AUUGAACGCUAGCGGGAUGCUUUACACAUGCAAGUCGAACGGAGUGGCGGACGGGUGAGUAAUAUAUCGGAAUGUGCCCAGUAGCGGGGGAUAACUACUCGAAAGAGUGGCUACUACCGCAUACUAUCAGAGCGGCCCAUAUCGGAUUAGCUAGUGGGUGGGGUAAAGGCUAACCAAGGCAACGAUCCGUAGCUGGUUUGAGAGGACGACCAGCCACACUGGGACUGAGACACGGCCCAGACUCCUACGGGAGGCAGCAGUGGGGAAGAUUGGACAAUGGGGGAAACCCUGAUUCAGCCAUCCCGCGUGUAUGAUGAAGGCCUUAGGGUUGUAAAGUACUUUUGGCAUGGAAGCGGUAUCUGCAGAAUAAGCACCGGCUAACUACGUGCCAGCAGCCGCGGUAAUUC
Molecule: ribosomal RNA, 407 nt
Filed under: uncultured bacterium
Lineage: Bacteria
Description: partial 16S ribosomal RNA
Rfam family: Bacterial small subunit ribosomal RNA
Source: RNAcentral